This 253-nucleotide ribosomal RNA is filed under the name uncultured bacterium. RNAcentral describes it as "partial 16S ribosomal RNA". It matches the Rfam family "Bacterial small subunit ribosomal RNA", at positions 524 to 776 of the family's 1533-position model. The record is from RNAcentral.
UACGGGGGGGGCAAGCGUUGUUCGGAAUUACUGGGCGUAAAGGGCUCGUAGGCGGCCAACUAAGUCAGACGUGAAAUCCCUCGACUUAACCGGGGAACUGCGUCUGAUACUGGAUGGCUUGAAUCCGGGAGAGGGAUGCGGAAUUCCAGGUGUAGCGGUGAAAUGCGUAGAUAUGACACAGAACACCAAUUGCGAAGGCAGCUCGCUAAACUGUAACUGACGCUGAUGCACGAAAGCGUGGGUAGCAAACAGG